CUUUGUUUAGCUUAAGUUUAGAGCAUCUGUUUGAAGCGCGGAAAGUAUCGUUAUGGUAAUAAAGU
This 65-nucleotide transfer RNA is filed under the name Benedenia hoshinai. RNAcentral describes it as "tRNA-Phe". Lineage: Eukaryota; Metazoa; Platyhelminthes; Monogenea; Capsalidea; Capsalidae. The record is from RNAcentral.